AUCACUAGGUGGAUAUUGUUAUGCAAGGAAGAGAUGUGAAUAUACAGGAAAUGAGAUCCUUAAAGGGGUUGCCAUCCAGAUGUUAGAUCAAAGAGAUUAUGAUUCAUUCAACCAAGUCGCUGGACUUUUGAAGGCCUAUCCAAGUCGUGGUGCCUUUGAGGUUGCGCCUGUUACUAUUCAAAACUUGGUUUUAACCAUUUAAGGCCAUGAGGUGUGAGGUCUUUUGAGAGUGAAAGAACUCAUAUUAAUCCAGCUCCUGACUCCUAAAAAAACAGUAACUCUUGUAAUUAAAAUGGGCAGAGUCCAUCAAGAAGCAGUGUCCAGAAGGCAGCACUGGGCCAUGUGGCGGGCAGCAGUGUCACCAGGAAACAUGCUGAGCUGGGUCAGGAACUGCGCAAGGAGGAGGAGACACUGCUCCUGUUGAAGGCAGCCCUCGCAUGACCUGCUGAAUCACAUCAAGGUUGAAGCAUUGGCCCUCCAAUCAAUGAUUAGUUCUAGGAGAGGGGAUGAGGUGCUGUCUUCUCCAACUUCUCCAACUGUGCCUGAACAGUCACACGUCAUGUCAGUGCAUAUAGAGAAUGAAGCAUCAGUCAACCAAACUACGCUGGAGUGGAGCAUAGAGUCCUGUGACAGAAGAAGAGGAGGAAGAGAAAGAAGAAUCAGAUCCCUAAAGGAGGGAAAAAGCCAGGAUUCGUUAUACAAAUUAAAUUUCUAAGUCUCAGGCUCUUUCUCCCCAAGGAAAUCAUCUUGCCAUGAGCCCUAGGGCCUGCUUGAAUGGAGAGCAAGAACUAUAGGAGGAUGUGUAGCUGCAAAAAUUUCUCAUCAAUAACUCAAUCUUCAGAACGUUAUGACAUACAGAAAAUCAAAGAUGCUGUGUCUUAGCAUUGAGCAAUAUGGGUGGUGCUAUGUCUGUAGUCUGGUCAAAUUCAGUAACUGUUCAAAACAAAAUUUCCUCUGGAAUACUAUUGAGAAAAUCUGGCAUUUGCAAAAAGGGCAGAGUUUAAAUAUGAGUCAGUCUUUCCAAUCAACAAUACCUCUUUUAAGAAAACCAACUAAAAGCUGUUUGCAUGCCGUUGAAUCCUUGUGAGCAGUUAGGCCACAGUCUAGGACAGAAAGAUGACACGGGGAAGGACUGAGGGCCAUCUGAGAACAAAGGUUGUUGCUACUUCUCAGAGUCAUUGAGACACACUGCAUGCUGUAGACUGCUUUGUGUAGCUGUUAUCACAUCUUGCUUGAGAUGUCAUUGGCAGAAUGUUCUUGGAAAUAAAUUAUAGAUAAAUAGCCAUCAUGGAGUUUGCUGGUUUCUAGAUAGCAAAAGAGAAAAGAAGCAGUUCCGGCCUG
This 1341-nucleotide long non-coding RNA is filed under the name Pan troglodytes (chimpanzee). RNAcentral describes it as "long non-coding RNA NONPTRT014968". The record is from RNAcentral. Lineage: Eukaryota; Metazoa; Chordata; Mammalia; Primates; Hominidae.